Molecule: long non-coding RNA, 1112 nt
Organism: Paramacrobiotus metropolitanus
Lineage: Eukaryota; Metazoa; Tardigrada; Eutardigrada; Parachela; Macrobiotidae
Exons: 3
Source: RefSeq, a predicted model, not a curated record
UUUGCCGUCGAAAGCGAAAAAACCCGCCCUCCACACCCUUCUAUUUCUAUCACACUGUUUAUCGUUUAUUAUCAUAUUGUCUAUGGUUUAUCAUUUAUCCGGUUUAUCAAUAAAGGGGUCUGGUCGCGGACGGUUACACAAGCGGUAGACUGACCAGCUUGGCCCUUCAGUUGCCAAGUUCGGACAUCGGUCUGCACUUUACCACCUCUGCUGAGCAACCCCAUUUACGGCAAACUGUUCUGGUCUGAAGAUCGCGAAACGUUAAUAUAUAAUUAAUAUUCUUUCACAGAGUCACUAUUUUAUUUUUCACGUACAGUUUUUCAGGUUUAGAUUCAACGAAUUAGCUGUGCAUGAAGUAUUUUCGUGGCUAUGUUUAACUAACUGUAGAUGUCAAACAGAAAACAAAAGGGGCAUGUAUUAACUAUUAAGUAACAAUUUAGCAGGAGACAGACUUAAAUCAAUAAUUCAAUGUUCCUGUGAUAUCAUCAUGUUAGACAACUGCGGAUUGUUUGCAUACCAUCAUGUUUACAAGUGCGGCAGGAUAUGAUUGGCAUAAUUGUGACGAAUUAUCAAAUCAAAUCUGGGAUAGACACUCGACGUUUUUCAUGAGGACUAUGGGCGUUUCCAACCUCCUCCGAUUAGUAUGUUGAUAUUUGUCGGAGCGGACACAUAUGGAAUUUUAGGGACAAAGCACCGGAACAUCCGCUCGAAGGAUGCGUCCAAAUUUUUCAUCCGCGUUUCACACCAGUGCAUACUCAUCGUGUAUGAUCGCACCACUGAGUAGAUGAGGGGAUUGACGUAAGAGCUGCUCAUGGCCAGAAAGUGGAUGGCCAGGAAGGUGUAUGUAAACGACAACUCAUGCCGAUCGCGCCAUGAUUUGAUUAGCUCCGGGAAGAAAUCAAUCAUAACAAAGAAGAGAUGAAGUGGAAACCAGCAGAUGGCAAAUACCAGCACAAUAACCACCAGCAUUUUUACCACCUACAAACAAAAUACACAACAAUUAAUUUCGAGUUUUAAGGUAAUUAAAAUACAGUUAUUUUUCGUAUAGGCCGAUUUAUGUACUAGUAUUUGUUUCUGUAGUUGCUGCGUCAAGCAUCAAGCGAUGCGCUACA